GAGCUCCACACCCUGGAUCUCACAUUCACUUGUUUUUUCACAAAUGUUUAUUGAGUUCCUAUGGUUUGGUGGCUGCCGGGCUCGGGGGAGAGUGCAGCAGACCACGCGGAUACGCGUCUGUCCACAGAAGGCCUGUAGGCUGUGACACCGGCUGGGGCAGGAGCUCUGGGAGAAGGUCCAGCUCCUCCAUGGCUCCCCCUGCCUCCCUCCGGCUCAUGGAGCCCACUGGGACAACCCUCAGCACCCUCUCCCCUCUCCUCUCUUUCAUCCUCUCCCGUGGGGCAUCUAUGACCUGGGAGGCACUGGGGAAACAGAGGUGAAGCAAGACGGCCAGGUGGCAGGCCACUGCAACAGACGAGGUUGGCAGCACCGAAGCAGUCCAGCCAGCCUGGAGAAGCCCUGGACACCCACUCCUGUCCUCAGAACGUGAAAGACGGGCAUGCUGCUGCAGAUGGAGAGCGUGUUGGACACAGCUUGUCCACAGAGUUUCCAAUACGCAUGGGAAGAUGCAACAAAGCUAGACAGCAGCUACCGGGAAAACGAACCAAAAUAAAAGUGCAAGACAUAUCACAGGGCGACACGAUUAAUUGCCAAGUCACUGACAUGGACAAAUUUAAUACUGAUGGAAUGAUUCUGUCUCUAUUUCUCAGGCAGACUGGCGCUGGGGUAGAAAGAAGGGAGACCACAAAUUCCUUGUGGUGUAUGGGUUGCUCAAAUUAUUACAAAAACCAGGCAUUAAUUUUGCAUGCAUUAAUCUUAUAAAAUACGGUAAAUAUGACAGGCACAUAGAGCACAAUUGUAGCUCAAACUCAGAGAGGCCCUUUGGUAGCCACAGAAGGCCUGGCGGAGGAAGCAGGUUUUUGUUUUUUGUUUUUAAAUGUUUUUAUUUAUUUUUGAGACAGAGAGAGACAGAGCAUGAGCAGGGGAGGAGCAGAGAGAGAGGGAGACACAGACCGGGAAGCAGGCUCCAGGCUCUGAGCUGUUAGCACAGAGCCUGACGCGGGGCUCGAACUCACGGACCGUGAGAUCAUGAUCUGAGCCGAAGUUGGACGCCCAACCGACUGAGCUACCCGGGCACCCUGGAGGAAGCAGGUUUGAGAAAAGUCCUGUAGGAUUGGAAGGGGUGAGGCAGGUAGUCCAUACAGCAGAAUAAUCUGUGUUAAGAGCACAAGCUGGAAAGCCUGGGGCAAGGCCCAGCCUAAGGGAGAGGGGUCUAGCUGAAUCCUUCCCCUGAUGAAGGGAGGCCAUGCUCUUGCCUCCCCAAGGCCUACGAGGACAGCCCAAGCCGGCAACUUGGGUGGGUGCCAGAGUGUCUCUUGGGUGAGGCACCUCUGUCCCAUGAAGCUGAGGUCAGCCCUCCCAGCCCGUGAGCUGCAAGGACAUGUCACAGUGGCAUCUGGCAGACUUCAGUCCACCUGCUACAGGUCUGCCUGGAUAUCCUCUGGGGGGGCCAGAGUGAAUUCACUGUUCGGAGAAAGGAGUGGCUCGCCCAAGGUCAGCCUGGUCAGCUGACACAAUACUCACCAGCACUCUGAAUGCUCCUUCUCCUUCCAGAGGAGCCUGCCCUAGGCCAGCUUGGCCAGCCUGGGCACCCCCUGCACACUCCACUCCCCAUCAGCUCCGGCCCCGCUCCUGAGGCCAGCUGGCUGACCCCUACGUCCUGCAGAAGCUGAAACCAGUCUGGCCUUGAGCCCAGGAAUGCACUGGCCCAUGUUAUGCACUGGCCCAUGUUCCCGCAUUUUUUGUCACCCACUCACCUGCCUCCUGCCCCUUCGGGGGUUUCCAGGUGUCAAAAUCCCAGAUAUCAAGGCCCACAGGUGAGGGGCCAUUUCCAGACUAAUUCCCAAGAGUGAGCCUGGCAGGAAGGGGACUCUAGGAUAUUCCUUCUGGUCAUAAGCUUCUGUUCAGGAGGAUUUGGGGGUGACCUCACCUGCUGUGUUCAUCAGGCUUGGGCCAGGUCCCACCUAGACUGGAGAGCUUAAUCAAGCUGCCACUGGGAAAAAGGAGGUUGGUGAAUCGUGCUUCUGGGCUGCUCUGUGGCCUCUGCAUGGUGAAUCUGACUCAGGGGAGUCAGUAGAAAAAGAGUGCAGGUUUGAGGCCCCACAGCUCCAGGGCUAAAUCUCACUACUUCCUAGGUAUUUGUGAGUCUCAUCUGUACAGUGGGUAUAUACAUCCACAGCUUAAAUAAAAUAAUACAAGUAAACAA
Long non-coding RNA from Acinonyx jubatus (cheetah), 2206 nucleotides. RefSeq lists it as uncharacterized. Lineage: Eukaryota; Metazoa; Chordata; Mammalia; Carnivora; Felidae. The transcript is spliced from 3 exons. The record is from RefSeq and is a predicted model, not a curated record.